RNAcentral lists this ribosomal RNA (254 nucleotides) under uncultured bacterium. RNAcentral describes it as "partial 16S ribosomal RNA". It matches the Rfam family "Bacterial small subunit ribosomal RNA", at positions 524 to 776 of the family's 1533-position model. The record is from RNAcentral. RNAcentral also lists the same sequence under 2 other names.
UACGUAGGGUGCGAGCGUUGUCCGGAAUUAUUGGGCGUAAAGAGCUCGUAGGCGGUCUGUCGCGUCGAUCGUGAAAACUUGGGGCUUAACCCUGAGCUUGCGGUCGAUACGGGCAUGACUGGAGUUCGGCAGGGGAGACUGGAAUUCCUGGUGUAGCGGUGAAAUGCGCAGAUAUCAGGAGGAACACCGGUGGCGAAGGCGGGUCUCUGGGCCGAUACUGACGCUGAGGAGCGAAAGCGUGGGGAGCGAACAGG